RNAcentral lists this ribosomal RNA (510 nucleotides) under Triticum aestivum (bread wheat). RNAcentral describes it as "partial small subunit ribosomal RNA". The record is from RNAcentral. Lineage: Eukaryota; Viridiplantae; Streptophyta; Magnoliopsida; Poales; Poaceae.
AUGGCGUCCAAGGUAUCGGCUUCAUGUGGCCUCUUCCUUGCCCUUAACCUCCUCUUGUUUGCAGUGACCAGUGCCUGCCCAAGCUGCGGCGACUCGGGCAACAAUGGUGGCCACGGGAGCAGCGGCGGCGGGAGAGGUGGUGGCGGUGGAGGUGGCAGCGGCGGAGGAGGGCAUGGAGGCGGGGGUGGCGGAGGCCAUGGAGGCGGGUAUGGAGGAGGAGGCGGCGGCGGGACGAGCGGGUGGUACGGCAAGUGCCCGACGGACGCGCUGAAGCUGCACGUGUGCGCCAAUGUGCUGGAUCUGAUCAAGGCGAAGGUGGGCGUGCCUCCGUUGAACGACCGGUGCUGCCCGCUGCUCAACGGGCUCGUCGACCUGGACGCUGCCAUCUGCCUCUGCACCGCCAUCAAGGCCGACGUGCUAGGCAUCCACAUCAACCUUCCCAUCCACCUCAGCCUCAUCCUCAACUUCUGCGGCAAGGGCGUCCCGACCGGCUUCAUGUGCCCUAACUAA